ACUGACCCGCUAGCCCGACCUUAACCAAAAAUAACAAGACAAAUUAACUAAACCCAAAAACACCAACACCCACACAACAAAUCAUUUUUCCCCCUUAGUAUGGGCGACAGAAAAGGAAUCUACGGAGCGAUAGAGAAAGUACCGCACGGGAAUGCUGAAAAACAAAUGAAAUAAACAAGUGAAGCCCAAAAAAGCAGAGAUAGUACCUCGUACCUUUUGCAUCAUGAUUUAGCCAGUGAAACCCAAGCAAAGAGCACUUUAGUUUGACAACCCGAAACUAAGUGAGCUACUCCAAGACAGCCUAGUAAUAGGGCGAACCCGUCUCUGUGGCAAAAGAGUGGGAAGAGCUUCGAGUAGAGGUGACAGACCUACCGAACUUAGUAAUAGCUGGUUGCCCGCAAACUGGAUAGAAGUUCAGCCUCCCGGCUUCUCCCUUCACACAAAUUAUUACAUUUUAACAGAUUACAAGAAACCGAGAGAGUUAGUCAAAGGGGGUACAGCCCCUUUGAAACAAGAUACAACUUUACGUAGGAGGAAAAAGAUCAAAAUUUACCCAAGGCAGUAUGUUACGGUGGGCCUAAGAGCAGCCAUCCCGACGAAAAGCGUUAAAGCUCAGACACACUACCUCCCAAAACCCCAAGUCUCGAUCAUCUAUUCUUACUCCCCUUAUCCUACCGGGCCGCCCCAUGCAAACAUGGGGGCGAUCCUGCUAAAAUGAGUAUAUAAGAGAGCCUAACGUCUCUCUCCUAGCAUAUGUGUAAAUCGGAAACGGACAACCCACCGAAACUUAACGGACCCAAAAACAGAGGGAACUGAACCACAGACCUAAACAACCAGAAAAGCACCCAAACAACAACCGUUACCCCUACACAGGUAUGCCCUUAAGGAAAGACUAAAAGAAAGAGAAGGAACUCGGCAAACACACUCAGCCUCGCCUGUUUACCAAAAACAUCGCCUCUUGCUAAACCAAAAGUAUAAGAGGUCCCGCCUGCCCUGUGACUAUAUGUUUAACGGCCGCGGUAUUUUGACCGUGCGAAGGUAGCGCAAUCACUUGUCUUUUAAAUGGAGACCUGUAUGAAUGGCAUAACGAGGGCUUGACUGUCUCCUCUUUCAAGUCAAUGAAAUUGAUCUCCCCGUGAAGAAGCGGGGAUAGGCACAUAAGACGAGAAGACCCUAUGGAGCUUUAGACACCAAGACAGAUUAUAGUCCAUAAUCCUAAUUUAAAAGGGUAUAAAUUGAUUAAGUCCUGUCCCUAUGUCUUUGGUUGGGGCGACCGCGGAGAAACAAAAAACCCCCGCACGGACCGAACGAAUAUUAACGUUUACAACUAAGAGCUACAGCUCUAACUAACAGAACUUCUGACCAAUCAGAUCCGGCAAUGCCGAUCAAUGAACCGAGUUACCCUAGGGAUAACAGCGCAAUCCCCUCUUAGAGUCCAUAUCGACGAGGGGGUUUACGACCUCGAUGUUGGAUCAGGACAUCCUAAUGGUGCAGCCGCUAUUAAGGGUUCGUUUGUUCAACGAUUAAAGUCCUACGUGAUCUGAGUUCAGACCGGAGAAAUCCAGGUCGGUUUCUAUCUAUGAUACGACCUUUUCUAGUACGAAAGGACCGAAAAGAGGAGGCCCAUGCCCAAAGCAUGCCUCACCCUGACCUGAUGAAGUCAGCUCAAACAGGCAAAAGGGCGUCAACCCUUAAUGUCUGAAAAAACGACAU
This 1713-nucleotide ribosomal RNA is filed under the name Cephalopholis sonnerati (tomato hind). Its description in RNAcentral is "16S ribosomal RNA". The stretch from base 98 to 1631 matches the Rfam family "Bacterial large subunit ribosomal RNA". The record is from RNAcentral. Lineage: Eukaryota; Metazoa; Chordata; Actinopteri; Perciformes; Serranidae.